Long non-coding RNA from Saccostrea cuccullata (small rock oyster), 722 nucleotides. RefSeq lists it as uncharacterized. The transcript is spliced from 5 exons. The record is from RefSeq and is a predicted model, not a curated record. Lineage: Eukaryota; Metazoa; Mollusca; Bivalvia; Ostreida; Ostreidae.
AUAAGACGUGAUUUUCGCUAAGCGAAGAUUUUCUGGAAUUUUUGAUUACAAACAAUCGAUACAGCUACAGAAAUGAACAGUCAGAGUCAUAAAAGGAAGAGAGUGGAUGUUCAGUUUGCCAACCCGGAAGCUGCCUCGAGUAUUUACAAGAGGCUGGGAGUGGACAUCUUGACCACGCCCACCACUUCCGGGAGAGAUGUGGAGGUCUCAGUUUUGUUUUAUAUGUAAUAAACAUUGGUAUAAAACGAUGUUGGGCCACCAAGAAAGCGUUAUAUUCAGGCUUCCAAUCAAGCAGUAUUUCAAAACACAGGACCCAAUCGUACAAGUGGCAGAGUGGUGACAAAUGGGGUGGCAAAACCUCUGUUGAGCAAUGAACAAAUACAACAAUUCAUAACGUCCACAGUUCUUCCUAAUGGUCGCUCAGUCACCAGCACUGAGACAGUGAACCCUAAUGUCACCAAUUGUACCGUGUAUCCUUCUCAACCUGGGACUAGGAUACAACAACAGACUGAUUUCACAAAUGUGCAACCACAACUGACUUUGAAUGAGCUGAGAUCUGGACAGACCCUACCAUGGGUGUCCAUCCAGCAGCAAUCUCAGGAGACCAAGCAACAGCUAGCCAUAAACAGCCAGGGACACAUUCAUCCCUCAGACCAGACUACUUUUGCUGUCCAAAUUUUAAACCCGACUUUGACACAAGCAGAGCUCCAACAGCCAAUCUU